CAGCCGCCACGGGAAUACGAAGGGUGCAAGCGUUACUCGGAAUUACUGGGCGUAAAGCGUGCGUAGGUGGUGGUUUAAGUCCGUUGUGAAAGCCCUGGGCUCAACCUGGGAAUUGCAGUGGAUACUGGGUCACUAGAGUGUGGUAGAGGAUAGUGGAAUUUCCGGUGUAGCAGUGAAAUGCGUAGAGAUCGGAAGGAACAUCUGUGGCGAAGGCGACUAUCUGGGCCAACACUGACACUGAGGCACGAAAGCGUGGGGAGCAAACAGGAUUAGAUACCCCAGUAGUCCCUGUAUCUUAUAC
RNAcentral lists this ribosomal RNA (301 nucleotides) under uncultured bacterium. RNAcentral describes it as "partial 16S ribosomal RNA". It matches the Rfam family "Bacterial small subunit ribosomal RNA", at positions 509 to 807 of the family's 1533-position model. The record is from RNAcentral.